AUGAACGCUAGCGACAGGCCUAACACAUGCAAGUCGAGGGGCAGCACAAGGUAGCAAUACUUGGGUGGCGACCGGCGGACGGGUGAGUAACACGUAUGCAACCUGCCCGUAAUCGGGGGAUAACCCGGAGAAAUUCGGACUAAAACUCCAUGAAUCUGAGAUAUCGCAUGAUAAAACAGAAAAACGCAAGGAUUACGGAUUGGCUCGCGUGACAUUAGCUAGAUGGUGAGGUAACGGCUCACCAUGGCAAUGAUGUCUAGGGGUUCUGAGAGGAAGGCCCCCCACACUGGGACUGAGACACGGCCCAGACUCCUACGGGAGGCAGCAGUGAGGAAUAUUGGACAAUGGAUGGAAAUCUGAUCCAGCCAUGCCGCGUGCAGGAAGACAGCCCUAUGGGUUGUAAACUGCUUUUAUAUGGGAGCAAUAAGGUCUACGUGUAGACUGAUGAGAGUACCAUAUGAAUAAGCAUCGGCUAACUCCGUGCCAGCAGCCGCGGUAAUACGGAGGAUGCGAGCGUUAUCCGGAUUUAUUGGGUUUAAAGGGUGCGUAGGCGGCCGAGUAAGUCAGCGGUGAAAUUUUGCAGCUUNACUGUAACAGUGCCGUUGAUACUGCAUGGCUAGGAUUUGGUUGCUGUGGGUGGAAUGUGUGGUGUAGCGGUGAAAUGCUUAGAUAUCACACAGAAUAUCAAUUGCGAAGGCAGCUCACAAAGCCAAGAUUGACGCUGAGGCACGAAAGUGUGGGGAUCAAACAGGAUUAGAUACCCUGGUAGUCCACACUGUAAACGAUGAUAACUCACUGCCGGCGAUACACAGUCGGUGGCCAAGCGAAAGCGAUAAGUUAUCCACCUGGGGAGUACGACCGCAAGGUUGAAACUCAAAGGAAUUGACGGGGGCCCGCACAAGCGGAGGAACAUGUGGUUUAAUUCGAUGAUACGCGAGGAACCUUACCCGGGCUCGAACGGUGCAUGAAUAAGCAAGAGAUUGUUUAGUCCUUCGGGACAUGUAUCGAGGUGCUGCAUGGUUGUCGUCAGCUCGUGCCGUGAGGUGUCGGCUUAAGUGCCAUAACGAGCGCAACCCUUGUUGUUAGUUACCAACAGGUAAAGCUGGGGACUCUAACGAGACUGCCACCGUAAGGUGCGAGGAAGGGGGGGAUGACGUCAAAUCAGCACGGCCCUUAUGUCCGGGGCGACACACGUGUUACAAUGGGGGGUACAGAGGGCAGCCAUCCGGUGACGGAGCGCCAAUCUCCAAAACCCUUCUCAGUUCGGAUUGGAGUCUGCAACCCGACUCCAUGAAGUUGGAUUCGCUAGUAAUCGCGCAUCAGCCAUGGCGCGGUGAAUACGUUCCCGGGCCU
RNAcentral lists this ribosomal RNA (1353 nucleotides) under uncultured bacterium. RNAcentral describes it as "bacterial SSU rRNA". It matches the Rfam family "Bacterial small subunit ribosomal RNA", at positions 29 to 1381 of the family's 1533-position model. The record is from RNAcentral.